Cinara cedri is the source of this 565-nucleotide non-coding RNA. Lineage: Eukaryota; Metazoa; Arthropoda; Insecta; Hemiptera; Aphididae. The record is from the annotation of a GenBank genome assembly.
UUAUUUACGCGACGACGGUACCUAUACAUCCAAUAAGUUAUUAAAGACGGUACGUUUUUAACGUUCAAUUAUCGUGUUAAAAUUACAUUAAAUCGGAAUUAACUUAACGCGGUGUAAUUCAAAAUCAACUCGUUAAUAUUGUAUUAUUAAGUUAUUAAGGUAAUGUAAAAUAAAUAAAUAAAUAAAUAAAUAAUAAAUGAAGUUAAAAGUUAAACUAAUAAAAAAAUCAAACGUGUUUUUGAACCAUAGUUAAUGCCCUCGAGUGGAAUGCGUGUUCGCCAACUCCCGGAGUCGGAACAUAUAAAAUUGGAUUCCGGUAAAAAAAAAAAAAAAAUUUUAAAAACCGUCUUUGAGAAUAAAAUAAAUACUAACUACUAAUUCACGGUAAAAAUAAAAUGCAAAUAAUCUCGUACCCCGCUCCGAUACGAGAAAGAAAAAAAAAUAAAUAAAUACCGACUCCGACCAAACAGAACCUACGCGUAUUUCACUAGCCGUGUUUUGUCGCGUUCAAUGUUACAAUGUUAUUGCGCGUUCGGAUUCACUGGGCGAUCCGGCAUUUGCGCGG